Molecule: ribosomal RNA, 253 nt
Filed under: uncultured bacterium
Lineage: Bacteria
Description: partial 16S ribosomal RNA
Rfam family: Bacterial small subunit ribosomal RNA
Source: RNAcentral
UACGGAGGGUGCAAGCGUUGUCCGGAUUUAUUGGGUUUAAAGGGUGCGUAGGUGGUCCUGUAAGUCUGGUUUGAAAGCAGGUGGCUUAACCAUCUGAUGUGGCUGGAAACUGGAGGACUUGAAUUGGUUGGCGGUAGCCGGAACGGGUCAUGUAGCGGUGAAAUGCAUAGAUAUGACCCAGAACACCGAUUGCGAAGGCAGGCUACUACGACCGUAUUGACACUGAGGCACGAGAGCAUGGGUAGCGAACAGG